This 207-nucleotide ribosomal RNA is filed under the name uncultured bacterium. Its description in RNAcentral is "partial 16S ribosomal RNA". It matches the Rfam family "Bacterial small subunit ribosomal RNA", at positions 568 to 774 of the family's 1533-position model. The record is from RNAcentral.
CGCGUAGGCGGCUCGGUAAGUUUGGAGUGAAAGUCCUGGCUUUAAGUUGGGAAUUGCUUUGAAAACUGUCGGGCUUGAGUGCAGGAGAGGUUAGUGGAAUUCCCAGUGUAGCGGUGAAAUGCGUAGAGAUUGGGAGGAACACCAGUGGCGAAGGCGACUAACUGGACUGUAACUGACGCUGAGGCGCGAAAGUGUGGGGAGCAAACA